This 253-nucleotide ribosomal RNA is filed under the name uncultured bacterium. RNAcentral describes it as "partial 16S ribosomal RNA". It matches the Rfam family "Bacterial small subunit ribosomal RNA", at positions 524 to 776 of the family's 1533-position model. The record is from RNAcentral.
UACGGAGGGUGCGAGCGUUACCCGGAUUUACUGGGCGUAAAGGGCGCGUAGGCGGUCUGUUAAGUCCGAUGCGAAAGACCGGGGCUCAACCUGGGGAGUGCGUUUGAUACUGUGAGACUAGAGUGUGGGAGAGGGCAGCGGAAUUCCCGGUGUAGCGGUGAAAUGCGUAGAUACCGGGAGGAACACCAGUGGCGAAGGCGGCCACCUGGACCAUGACUGACGCUGAGGCGCGAAAGCGUGGGGAGCAAACAGG